GCCGCUUUAGCUCAGGGGUAGAGCAACCGCCUUGUAAGCGGUAGGUCGUCAGUUCGAAUCCGACAAGCGGCACCA
RNAcentral lists this transfer RNA (75 nucleotides) under Thiobacillus sp. RNAcentral describes it as "tRNA-Thr". It matches the Rfam family "tRNA". Rfam says of the family: Transfer RNA (tRNA) molecules are approximately 80 nucleotides in length. Their secondary structure includes four short double-helical elements and three loops (D, anti-codon, and T loops). Further hydrogen bonds mediate the characteristic L-shaped molecular structure. tRNAs have two regions of fundamental functional importance: the anti-codon, which is responsible for specific mRNA codon recognition, and the 3' end, to which the tRNAs corresponding amino acid is attached (by aminoacyl-tRNA synthetases). tRNAs cope with the degeneracy of the genetic code in two manners: having more than one tRNA (with a specific anti-codon) for a particular amino acid; and 'wobble' base-pairing, i.e. permitting non-standard base-pairing at the 3rd anti-codon position. Lineage: Bacteria; Pseudomonadati; Pseudomonadota; Betaproteobacteria; Nitrosomonadales; Thiobacillaceae. The record is from RNAcentral. RNAcentral also lists the same sequence under 13 other names.